This 448-nucleotide ribosomal RNA is filed under the name uncultured Sphingobacteriales bacterium. RNAcentral describes it as "bacterial SSU rRNA". It matches the Rfam family "Bacterial small subunit ribosomal RNA", at positions 933 to 1382 of the family's 1533-position model. Lineage: Bacteria; Pseudomonadati; Bacteroidota; Sphingobacteriia; Sphingobacteriales. The record is from RNAcentral.
UGGAGCAUGUGGUUUAAUUCGAUGAUACGCGAGGAACCUUACCUGGGCUCGAACGUAAGAUGACUGUAGGUGAAAGCUUACAUCUCUUCGGAGCAUUUUACGAGGUGCUGCAUGGUUGUCGUCAGCUCGUGCCGUGAGGUGUCGGGUUAAGUCCCAUAACGAGCGCAACCCCUACCUUAGUUGCCAUCAGGUUAAGCUGGGGACUCUAAAGGAACUGCCUACGCAAGUAGUGAGGAAGGCGGGGAUGACGUCAAAUCAGCACGGCCCUUACGUCCAGGGCUACACACGUGCUACAAUGGCCGAUACAGAGGGCAGCUACCUGGUGACAGGAUGCAAAUCUCCAAAGUCGGUCUCAGUUCGGAUCGGAGUCUGCAACCCGACUCCGUGAAGUUGAAUUCGCUAGUAAUCGCGCAUCAGCCAUGGCGCGGUGAAUACGUUCCCGGGCCUU